This is a regulatory RNA element of Pontibacillus halophilus, 151 nucleotides long. It matches the Rfam family "Ribosomal protein L10 leader". From Rfam's summary of the family: This family is a putative r-protein leader autoregulatory structure found in B. subtilis and other low-GC Gram-positive bacteria. It is located in the 5' untranslated regions of mRNAs encoding ribosomal proteins L10 and L12 (rplJ-rplL). The record is from Rfam. Lineage: Bacteria; Bacillati; Bacillota; Bacilli; Caryophanales; Bacillaceae.
UAAUAAAGAUACGUUAUACCGUAGACAGUAGGAGCGACUUGUCGCUUAAUGACCUACCGAGGUGUGUGAAUAUACCAGGGAUAUACUCCGUAGUAUGUCUCACAAAUGGUGUGCCUCCUCGUCUAUGUGGGGGCACAUUUUUUGUGUAGUA